Transfer RNA from Myotis lucifugus (little brown bat), 74 nucleotides. It matches the Rfam family "tRNA". From Rfam's summary of the family: Transfer RNA (tRNA) molecules are approximately 80 nucleotides in length. Lineage: Eukaryota; Metazoa; Chordata; Mammalia; Chiroptera; Vespertilionidae. The record is from Rfam.
GCCAGUGUGGCUCAGUGGGUAGAGUGUCGGCCUGCGGACUGAAGGGUCCCGGGUUUGAUUCCCGGCCAAGGGCA